This 524-nucleotide ribosomal RNA is filed under the name uncultured bacterium. RNAcentral's name for it is "bacterial SSU rRNA". It matches the Rfam family "Bacterial small subunit ribosomal RNA", at positions 272 to 788 of the family's 1533-position model. The record is from RNAcentral.
GCCAACGAUCUGUAGCUGGUCUGAGAGGACGACCAGCCACACUGGAACUGAGACACGGUCCAGACUCCUACGGGAGGCAGCAGUGGGGAAUUUUGGACAAUGGGCGCAAGCCUGAUCCAGCAAUGCCGCGUGCAGGAAGAAGGCCUUCGGGUUGUAAACUGCUUUUGUACGGAGCGAAACGGUCUGAGUUAAUACCUCGGGCUAAUGACGGUACCGUAAGAAUAAGCACCGGCUAACUACGUGCCAGCAGCCGCGGUAAUACGUAGGGUGCAAGCGUUAAUCGGAAUUACUGGGCGUAAAGCGUGCGCAGGCGGUGAUGUAAGACAGUCGUGAAAUCCCCGGGCUCAACCUGGGAAUUGCGAUUGUGACUGCAUUGCUGGAGUGCGGCAGAGGGGGAUGGAAUUCCGCGUGUAGCAGUGAAAUGCGUAGAUAUGCGGAGGAACACCGAUGGCGAAGGCAAUCCCCUGGGCCUGCACUGACGCUCAUGCACGAAAGCGUGGGGAGCAAACAGGAUUAGAUACCCU